Parus major (Great Tit) is the source of this 634-nucleotide long non-coding RNA. RefSeq lists it as uncharacterized. The transcript has 3 exons. Lineage: Eukaryota; Metazoa; Chordata; Aves; Passeriformes; Paridae. The record is from RefSeq and is a predicted model, not a curated record.
AAAGACAAUUCCUUCCGAGAAUCCUUUUGUUGUGGGACAAGCUCCUUCCCAGCCUCUGCAGGGUUGCAGAAAAUGUUUUGGGAAGUUAUGAAGACAGGAUGCAACAAACACAGAAGAACACUGGUGGUGUUUUUGUCACGAGCGCGUUCAUUCCUUUGUGCUGCCACAUGAAUGGAGUGUUCGCUGAUAAAGAAAACGCCCUCGCAGCGCACUGCUUCUAUUUCUAGUCAUAAGUUAAAAAUUCUCUUCUCAGGAGGAUCCCUCUGUGCUGCGCAGGUGUGUGGGAAAUUCUGAGCAUUUUAAUGACAUUGCAUCUUAUUUUAGUUAGACAAGUCUGAGGGAAAAUUCCUAAAUUCAAAGAGAGAACUUCAAAAAUGACAUGAUUUCGAAGAGCUCUGAAUUCUAGAGAUGUCUUCCAAAUUGCUAAAUCAGGAGUACAGACUGCCAUCUUUCUCUGCUGCUGGGAUAUGUGGAGCUGAGCUGUCUACACCAAGGACACCAUCAGAUAAAACAGGCUGUCUCUGUGACCUUUCCCACACUUAUUAUAUAGAUGGCUAAGUGAAAGCAAAGAGCUUUAGAAGCAAUUGCAUCUCCAUGGUGACAAAACCACAAUGUCUCAUUUAUGCUCCAGGAU